UUAGUACCCGGAGGAAGAGAAAGAAAAUUCGAUUCCCUUAGUAGCGGCGAGCGAAACGGGAAGAGCCCAAACCAACAAGCUUGCUUGUUGGGGUUGUAGGACACUCUAUACGGAGUUACAAAGGACGACAUUAGACGAAUCAUCUGGAAAGAUGAAUCAAAGAAGGUAAUAAUCCUGUAGUCGAAAAUGUUGUCUCUCUUGAGUGGAUCCUGAGUACGACGGAG
RNAcentral lists this ribosomal RNA (224 nucleotides) under Staphylococcus aureus. RNAcentral's name for it is "partial 23S ribosomal RNA". It matches the Rfam family "Bacterial large subunit ribosomal RNA", at positions 203 to 422 of the family's 2925-position model. Lineage: Bacteria; Bacillati; Bacillota; Bacilli; Caryophanales; Staphylococcaceae. The record is from RNAcentral.